UGCAUUCUUGAGCAAACUGGACGCAGAGUUACCAAACAGACGUGCCUGCCAAACUGUUCCUCGUGACUUUCAGUUCUCUACACAGAGAGUUGUGUCGGUGCUUCCUGCURUGCAGCAGAAGAGUGGGAGGGGACAGAGCCCACCACCAGGCUGCUSUCAAUACAGAUCUCCAGUUGRUCACCCCAGCAUUCCCUCUGAGAGCUCCUUCAGAAGCACUGCCAACUCAGCUCCAGUUGAUCCUACGCAUGUGCUUUCCCAGAAUAAAUUACUGGAACCUAAACGACAGCAGCAAGAAGAGGAAAGAGCCAGAAUCCUUCAAGCCGAGCACAGGAGG
This is a non-coding RNA of Urocitellus parryii (Arctic ground squirrel), 334 nucleotides long. The record is from RefSeq and is a predicted model, not a curated record. NCBI's taxonomy places the organism in Eukaryota, Metazoa, Chordata, Mammalia, Rodentia, Sciuridae.